GAUGAACGCUGGCGGCGUGCCUAAUACAUGUAAGUCGAGCGAACAGACGAGGAGCUUGCUCCUCUGACGUUAGCGGCGGACGGGUGAGUAACACGUGGAUAACCUACCUAUAAGACUGGGAUAACUUCGGGAAACCGGCGCUAAUACCGGAUAAUAUAUUGAACCGCAUGGUCCAAUAGUGAAAGACGGUUUUGCUGUCACUUAUAGAUGGAUCCGCGCCGCAUUAGCUAGUUGGUAAGGUAACGGCUUACCAAGGCAACGAUGCGUAGCCGACCUGAGAGGGUGAUCGGCCACACUGGAACUGAGACACGGUCCAGACUCCUACGGGAGGCAGCAGCAGGGAAUCUUCCGCAAUGGGCGAAAGCCUGACGGAGCACCGCCGCGUGAGUCAUGAAGGUCUUCGGAUCGUAAAACUCUGUUAUUAGGGAAGACCAAAUGUGUAAGUACCUAUGCACGUCUUGACGGUACCUAAUCAGAAAGCCACGGCUAACUACGUG
RNAcentral lists this ribosomal RNA (497 nucleotides) under uncultured bacterium. RNAcentral describes it as "partial 16S ribosomal RNA". It matches the Rfam family "Bacterial small subunit ribosomal RNA", at positions 28 to 507 of the family's 1533-position model. The record is from RNAcentral.